This 433-nucleotide ribosomal RNA is filed under the name uncultured bacterium. RNAcentral describes it as "partial 16S ribosomal RNA". It matches the Rfam family "Bacterial small subunit ribosomal RNA", at positions 29 to 507 of the family's 1533-position model. The record is from RNAcentral.
AACGAACGCUGGCGGCAUGCCUAACACAUGCAAGUCGAACGAGAACAUCGGGUCUAGUGGUGUAUGGCUGAGUAACGCGUGAGAACCUGCCAAUAGGUUCGGAAUAACCUAGAGAAAUUUGAGCUAAUAUCGGAAGAUGUCUUCGGACCAAAGAUUUAUCGACGUUAGAUGGGCCCGCGUUGGAUUAGCUUGUUGGUGGGGUAAAGGCCUACCAAGGCGACGAUUCAUAGCUGGUCUGUGAGAAAGAUCAGCCACACUUGGACUGAGACACGGCCCAGACUCCUGCGGGAUGCAGCAGUGGGGAAUGUUGGACUAUGGGCUGUAUCCUGAUCCAGCAAUGCCUCUUGAGUAAUGAAGGCCUUAGGGUUGUAAAUCUCUUUUACCCGAGAUGAUAAUGACAUUAUCGGGAGAAUAAGCUCCGGCUAACUCCGUG